GCUGAUGCGUUGUUGGGUAGGGGAGCGUUCUGUAAGCCUGCGAAGGUGACCUGUGAGGGUUGCUGGAGGUAUCAGAAGUGCGAAUGCUGACAUAAGUAACGAUAAAGCGGGUGAAAAGCCCGCUCGCCGGAAGACCAAGGGUUCCUGUCCAACGUUAAUCGGGGCAGGGUGAGUCGACCCCUAAGGCGAGGCCGAAAGGCGUAGUCGAUGGGAAACGGGUUAAUAUUCCCGUACUUGGUGUUACUGCGAAGGGGGGACGGAGAAGGCUAUGUUGGCCGGGCGACGGUUGUCCCGGUUUAAGCGUGUAGGUGUGUGUUCCAGGUAAAUCCGGUUCACUUUAACACUGAGGCGUGAUGACGAGGCACUACGGUGCUGAAGCAACAAAUGCCCUGCUUCCAGGAAAAGCCUCUAAGCAUCAGGUAACAUCAAAUCGUACCCCAAACCGACACAGGUGGUCAGGUAGAGAAUACCAAGGCGCUUGAGAGAACUCGGGUGAAGGAACUAGGCAAAAUGGUGCCGUAACUUCGGGAGAAGGCACGCUGACACGUAGGUGAAGUGAUUUACUCACGGAGCUGAAGUCAGUCGAAGAUACCAGCUGGCUGCAACUGUUUAUUAAAAACACAGCACUGUGCAAACACGAAAGUGGACGUAUACGGUGUGACGCCUGCCCGGUGCCGGAAGGUUAAUUGAUGGGGUCAGCGCAAGCGAAGCUCCUGAUCGAAGCCCCGGUAAACGGCGGCCGUAACUAUAACGGUCCUAAGGUAGCGAAAUUCCUUGUCGGGUAAGUUCCGACCUGCACGAAUGGCGUAAUGAUGGCCAGGCUGUCUCCACCCGAGACUCAGUGAAAUUGAACUCGCUGUGAAGAUGCAGUGUACCCGCGGCAAGACGGAAAGACCCCGUGAACCUUUACUAUAGCUUGACACUGAACAUUGAGCCUUGAUGUGUAGGAUAGGUGGGAGGCUUUGAAGUGUGGACGCCAGUCUGCAUGGAGCCGACCUUGAAAUACCACCCUUUAAUGUUUGAUGUUCUAACGUGGACCCGUAAUCCGGGUUGCGGACAGUGUCUGGUGGGUAGUUUGACUGGGGCGGUCUCCUCCUAAAGAGUAACGGAGGAGCACGAAGGUUGGCUAAUCCUGGUCGGACAUCAGGAGGUUAGUGCAAUGGCAUAAGCCAGCUUGACUGCGAGCGUGACGGCGCGAGCAGGUGCGAAAGCAGGUCAUAGUGAUCCGGUGGUUCUGAAUGGAAGGGCCAUCGCUCAACGGAUAAAAGGUACUCCGGGGAUAACAGGCUGAUACCGCCCAAGAGUUCAUAUCGACGGCGGUGUUUGGCACCUCGAUGUCGGCUCAUCACAUCCUGGGGCUGAAGUAGGUCCCAAGGGUAUGGCUGUUCGCCAUUUAAAGUGGUACGCGAGCUGGGUUUAGAACGUCGUGAGACAGUUCGGUCCCUAUCUGCCGUGGGCGCUGGAGAACUGAGGGGGGCUGCUCCUAGUACGAGAGGACCGGAGUGGACGCAUCACUGGUGUUCGGGUUGUCAUGCCAAUGGCACUGCCCGGUAGCUAAAUGCGGAAGAGAUAAGUGCUGAAAGCAUCUAAGCACGAAACUUGCCCCGAGAUGAGUUCUCCCUGAGACUUAGAGUC
RNAcentral lists this ribosomal RNA (1635 nucleotides) under Salmonella enterica. RNAcentral describes it as "partial 23S ribosomal RNA". It matches the Rfam family "Bacterial large subunit ribosomal RNA", at positions 1213 to 2925 of the family's 2925-position model. RNAcentral also lists the same sequence under 1 other name. Lineage: Bacteria; Pseudomonadati; Pseudomonadota; Gammaproteobacteria; Enterobacterales; Enterobacteriaceae. The record is from RNAcentral.